Long non-coding RNA from Orcinus orca (killer whale), 1554 nucleotides. RefSeq lists it as uncharacterized. Lineage: Eukaryota; Metazoa; Chordata; Mammalia; Artiodactyla; Delphinidae. The record is from RefSeq and is a predicted model, not a curated record. The transcript is spliced from 4 exons.
CAGGAGGGAGUCGGGCUCCAUGGCGUGUGCGCCCCCAGCCCCUGGACCCGCCUGAUUUAUGAACCGAGGCUGUCUCCAUGAGUGUCUGGGUUUCUCCUUUUGUAUUCCAUCUGGCGGCUUUUCCAACUAGAUGACUGGCCUGGCUGGAAACAUUAGAAGGGACCGAGGCAGCGAGAUGUCUAAAAUAGGAAGACGCCGGGACGAUUGGCCUGGCUGCCUGCGACGCUGGCUGUGGGGAUCUGGCCCCGCUGUGCAGAUGGAAAAGCUAAGAGACAUUUCCUGCGGUGUGGGGGAUGCAGAAAUUGACUCAUCCAUCCAUUCAGUCAGACACUAAAAAUUUUUCUGGAACAUCUACUCGGCGCCAGACACCGUGCCAGGUGCUGGGUUUGCAGUGGGGAGCAAGUGGCAGUGUCUGGUAUCUUGGAGCUCACAGGUAAACAGGGGACACAGGUUCGAGCCCUGGUCCGGGAAGAUCCCACAUGCUGCGGAGCAACUAAGCCCGUGCACCACAACUACUAAGCCUGCGUUCUAGAGCCUGCAAGCCACAACUACUGAGCCCAUGUGCCACAACUACCGAAGCCCGCACGGCUAGAGCCCAUGCACCGCAACAAAGAAAAGCCACCGCAGUGAGAAGCCCGCGCACCGCAACGAAAGAGUAGCCCCCGCUCGCCGCAACUAGAGAAAGGCUGUGCACAGCAACGAAGACCCAACACGGCCAAAAAUAAAUUUAAAAAAAAAAAAUGAGGAGGGAGAUGGGAGACAGACAGAUAAGCCAGGAGGCUGGCAGGAGGGCCCAGGCCAGGGGUGGCAGGGAGGGAAAUACCCACCUGGCCCCCUUCCCAGCGACCCACUGCUGCCCAGCUGCUCCCAGAGCAGCCAGUGGCUGCUGACGUGGUUGGCCCAGCCUGACAGAGUGGGCCCUCCUCUGUCACCCUUCACCACCCGUCCUUGGAUGACAGAUCCCAGCUCCCAGCCUCCCGCUGCCUUAAUUACAGGGAGGUCAGGCCCUACCCAGGCAGCUGCAGGCACGAGGCUCCCUGGAUCUCUGAUUCAGUGGGUGUGGAGGGCAGGCUGCAGCGGGGCGGGGGGCAUCUGGGAGUGGUGGAUCGGGCCCCUGGACCACCAGUCAACAGGUGAGUUCAGGUCCAGUUACACCACCACCACUUCCCCAGCUCUCUGGGACCCCAGGGGCUCUGGGAGUUCCAGGAUUCCAGGAGCUAUGGGGGCCCAUGUGCACACAGGCACUGUGGUCCUUUUCUAGUUAUAGUGUGAUGGGGCUCCUCUCCAGAACACAGACCAACGUGGGCUUGCGUCCACUUUGGAGCAUCCUGGCUGCUUUCUCAGGUGAGGACAGACAAGCCUGCCUGGGUCCAAAUCCCAGCUCCCCAUUUACCAGCUGGGUGACCCUUGGCAAGUGACUUUACUUCUCAGUGCCCCAGUUUCCUCAUCUGUAAUCAGAAGGAGAGUCCCUGGAGGGCUGCUGGGAGAAUUAGUGAGCUAAUAUGGGUAGAGCUUAGAACAGGGCCAGAGGAAGCGUGCCGUAAAGCUAAAAUC